UCGUUGAGAACAAUGGGGCCACCAUUUAGGUGUUAGCCUAGGCUAACGGUUAGCCUAGCUGUUAGCCACCUAGCAUGCUAGCUUCGUUGAGAAACACUCAGAAGUAUAUUAGAGCUGAUUAUAGACCUACUAUAUAAGAGGCCAAGACCGGAACAUCUGAAUUAAAAUAACGAUUGUUCCCUAAUACAAUACAUAGCCUAUUGCAUAUUAUGCACUUUAAUGAUUUAAGAUGUCUUUGGUACAUAAUUUGGUCUAUCCUAUUCUCCUACAUUAAAACACACACUAGUAACGGCCUUUGAAUGUGGACUGUAUUAUUAUGCAUACUGGGUGGACUGGUUAAAUGUAUAGGCUUAGGUCAUGUUGCUGCUUCAUUGAUUGUGCAAGGUGGCUUACAAUAAUUAUUACUUACUUAUAAUUAUUGUGAAUUUGUAUUUGAUUUUUAAUUAGCCUGGUAAAAAAAAGGGCUUUUUUUUUUAAUACUUUCAUAAUUAAUCGGCUGACACAUUACCUUUAAUAACUGGAGAAUAUAUCUCACCACUGUGUUUUUCCCAUCUCCUCUCUUCUUCAUUCCUUUCUCAAGGAUGUAGAGAGAGAGAGGUGCUGUCACCAGCUUCAUCCACUAUGUUUCGUUGGUUGGAGGGCCCAUACAGAGUACUGGGUAGCUGCAGGAACAAGGUUGGAGGGCCCAUACAGAGUACUGGGUAGCUGCAGGAACAAGGUUGGAGGGCCCAUACAGAGUACUGGGUAGCUGCAGGAACAAGGUUGGAGGGCCCAUACAGAGUACUGGGUAGCUGCAGGAACAAGGUUGGAGGGCCCAUACAGAGUACUGGGUAGCUGCAGGAACAAGGUUGGAGAGCCCAUACAGAGUACUGGGUAGCUGCAGGAACAAGGUAGGAGAGCCCAUGACAUACAGAGUACUGGGUAGCUACAGGAACAGGGUAGGAGAGCCCAUGGCAUACAGAGUACUGGGUAGCUGAAGGAACAGGGUAGGAGGGCCCAUGGCAUACAGAGUACUGGGUAGCUGCAGGAACAAGGUUGGGAGAGCCCAUACAGAGUACUGGGUAGAUACAGUAACAGGGUAGGAGAGCCCAUACAGAGUACUGGGUAGCUGCAGGAACAGGGUAGGAGAGCCCAUACAGAGCACUGGGUAGAUACAGGAACAGGGUAGGAGUGCCCAUACAGAGUACUGGGUGGAAUAUCACCUGUCGCGCAGCGAGAGGCUGGGUGCUCCUCAAACAGUGGUUGAUUUGUGGAGUGAAAUGUGUUCCCAGACAUUUCUAUAUGGAACCAAGCAGUGUUGAUGGGUGUCACUGAAAAGAGGAUCCCAGCUGCUACGCUGCCAGCUGCUACCCUGCCAGCUGAUACUCUGCCAGCUGCUACGCUGCCAGCUGCUACUCUGCCAGCUGCUACGCUGCCAGCUGCUACGCUGCCAGCUGCUACUCUGCCAGCUGCUACUCUGCCAGCUGCUACCCUGCCUGCUGCUACUCUGCCAGCUUCUACCCUGUCAGCUGCUACCCUGCCAGCUGCUACUCUGCC
This 1536-nucleotide long non-coding RNA is filed under the name Salmo salar (Atlantic salmon). Its description in RNAcentral is "lncRNA (ENSSSAG00000083501.1)". The record is from RNAcentral. Lineage: Eukaryota; Metazoa; Chordata; Actinopteri; Salmoniformes; Salmonidae.